RNAcentral lists this ribosomal RNA (449 nucleotides) under uncultured bacterium. Its description in RNAcentral is "bacterial SSU rRNA". It matches the Rfam family "Bacterial small subunit ribosomal RNA", at positions 28 to 359 of the family's 1533-position model. The record is from RNAcentral.
GAUGAACGCUGGCGGCGUGCUUAACACAUGCAAGUCGAGCGGGCAAUUUAUCUAGCACUGAUUACUUCAAAUGGAAAUCAUAAGUGUAAUCAUGAAUUUCUACCUUUAAUAAAGAAAAAAGAAAUUCAUGUACGCAAAUAGUGAUAACACAUUUUAGUGGAGUGAUGAGUGCUGGAUAAAUUGCUAGCGGCGGACGGGUGCGUAACACGUGGGUAACCUGCCCCUAUCACUGGGAUAACACACUGAAAAGUGUGCUAAUACCAGAUAACAUAAGCUUUUGGCAUCAUUAGCUUAUCAAAGAAUUUCGGAUAGGGAUGGGCCCGCGUCUGAUUAGCUAGUUGGUGAGGUAACGGCUCACCAAGGCAACGAUCAGUAGCCGACCUGAGAGGGUGAUCGGCCACACUGGAACUGAGACACGGUCCAGACUCCUACGGGAGGCAGCAGUGGGG